RNAcentral lists this ribosomal RNA (370 nucleotides) under Glomus sp. CMCCROC8. RNAcentral's name for it is "partial 18S ribosomal RNA". The stretch from base 1 to 285 matches the Rfam family "Eukaryotic small subunit ribosomal RNA", at positions 1549 to 1831 of the family's 1831-position model. Lineage: Eukaryota; Fungi; Glomeromycota; Glomeromycetes; Glomerales; Glomeraceae. The record is from RNAcentral.
AUCUUUUGAAACUUCAUCGUGCUGGGGAUAGAGCUUUGCAAUUAUUGCUCUUGAACGAGGAAUCCCUAGUAAGUACAAGUCAUCAGCUUGUGCUGAUUACGUCCCUGCCCUUUGUACACACCGCCCGUCGCUACUACCGAUUGAAUGGCUUAGUGAGGCCCUCGGAUUGAGGUUCGAAGACUGGCAACAGACUUUGGAUUUUGAAAAGUUGGUCAAACUUGGUCAUUUAGAGGAAGUAAAAGUCGUAACAAGGUUUCCGUAGGUGAACCUGCGGAAGGAUCAUUACCAAUUUUAGCGAGCCUGGUCUUUGUUGACCAUGGUUUCGUGAAAAAUCGUUUUUAAACCCCCUCUCUUAUAAAAUUUGAAUCAU